UCUAGAGGCUUCGUCAAUGGGGGCAACCCUGAACGAGCGACGCCGCGUGCGGGAUGAAGGGCUUCGGCUUGUAAACCGCUUUUGUUCGGGACGAAGGCCCCGGUCGUGAACCGGGGAUUGACGGUACCGGACGAAUAAGCCUCGGCUAACUCCGUGCCAGCAGCCGCGGUAAGACGGAGGAGGCAAGCGUUGUUCGGAAUUAUUGGGCGUAAAGGGCUCGUAGGCGGGCAAGCAAGUCUGGCGGGAAAUCUCCACCGCUCACCGGGGAGGGGUCGCUGGAAACUACUUGUCUGGAGUUCGGUAGAGGGCUGUGGAAUUCCGCAUGUAGCGGUGGAAUGCGUAGAUAUGCGGAAGAACACCUGUGGCGAAGGCGGCAGCCUGGGCCGAAACUGACGCUGAGGAGCGAAAGCCAGGGGAGCAAACG
Molecule: ribosomal RNA, 424 nt
Filed under: uncultured prokaryote
Description: bacterial SSU rRNA
Rfam family: Bacterial small subunit ribosomal RNA
Source: RNAcentral